Molecule: ribosomal RNA, 406 nt
Filed under: uncultured bacterium
Lineage: Bacteria
Description: partial 16S ribosomal RNA
Rfam family: Bacterial small subunit ribosomal RNA
Source: RNAcentral
AUUGAACGCUGGCGGCAGGCUUAACACAUGCAAGUCGAGCGAGCGGCGGACGGGUGUGUAAUGUCUGGGAAACUGCCUGAUGGAGGGGGAUAACUACUGGAAACGGUAGCUAAUCCCGCAUACCAUCAGAUGUGCACAGAUGGGAUUAGCUAGUAGGUGGGGUAAUGGCUCCCAUAGGCGAAGAUCCCUAGCGGGUCUGCGGGGAUGACCGGCCACCCGGGAGCGGGUACAGGGUCCAGACUCCUACGGGAGGAAGCAGUGGGGAAUAUUGCACAAUGGGCGCAAGCAGGAUGCAGCCAUGCGGCGUGGGUGACGAGGGCCUUGGGGUUGUAAAGCACUUUCAGCGAGGAGACGGUACUCGCAGAAGAAGCACCGGCUAACUCCGUGCCAGCAGCCGCGGUAAUUC